This 619-nucleotide ribosomal RNA is filed under the name Burkholderia cenocepacia. RNAcentral's name for it is "bacterial LSU rRNA". It matches the Rfam family "Bacterial large subunit ribosomal RNA", at positions 2318 to 2925 of the family's 2925-position model. Lineage: Bacteria; Pseudomonadati; Pseudomonadota; Betaproteobacteria; Burkholderiales; Burkholderiaceae. The record is from RNAcentral.
ACGCUAGGUACGGUCGGAAAUCGUGCUGAUAGUGCAAUGGCAUAAGCGUGCUUAACUGCGAGACCGACAAGUCGAGCAGGUGCGAAAGCAGGUCAUAGUGAUCCGGUGGUUCUGUAUGGAAGGGCCAUCGCUCAACGGAUAAAAGGUACUCUGGGGAUAACAGGCUGAUACCGCCCAAGAGUUCAUAUCGACGGCGGUGUUUGGCACCUCGAUGUCGGCUCAUCUCAUCCUGGGGCUGUAGCCGGUCCCAAGGGUAUGGCUGUUCGCCAUUUAAAGAGGUACGUGAGCUGGGUUUAAAACGUCGUGAGACAGUUUGGUCCCUAUCUGCCGUGGGCGUUGGAUAUUUGAAGGGGGCUGCUCCUAGUACGAGAGGACCGGAGUGGACGAACCUCUGGUGUACCGGUUGUCACGCCAGUGGCAUCGCCGGGUAGCUAUGUUCGGAAGAGAUAACCGCUGAAAGCAUCUAAGCGGGAAACUCGCCUUAAGAUGAGAUAUCCCUGGGGACUAGAUCCCCUUGAAGGGUCGUUCGAGACCAGGACGUUGAUAGGUCGGGUGUGUAAGCGCAGUAAUGCGUUCAGCUAACCGAUACUAAUUGCCCGUAAGGCUUGAUCCUAUAACA